Caenorhabditis elegans is the source of this 143-nucleotide non-coding RNA. The record is from Ensembl. Lineage: Eukaryota; Metazoa; Nematoda; Chromadorea; Rhabditida; Rhabditidae.
AAACACCUCGUCGUCCUCCUCGUCCUCUGGCACCGGAGCCAGACGGAGCAACGGGGGACGACGUGGCAUUGCUCCAGUCGAUGAUGACUUUGGGAUCGCAGAUGAUGAUGGUCCGGUGACAGUGACAAGAAAUGGUUCUUCUU